CUGUGAAUAGAUCUUUUGCGUGUGAUCGAGUGUAGAUGAGUGUCUGAUUGCAGAUCUAUGUUAAUAUCACCCAGUAUAUGAAGAUCAGUUUUUAUAGGGCACUUAUUCAUUAUUAGUCUGUUAAGUUCAUCGAUAAAUAAGUGUUUAUUAGUGUUAGGGGGACGAUAUAUUGCACAAAUGUUUGUAUUAUAGUUUGUGUGAGUGGUUAUUGUGAAUAAUACGUUUUCGAAAUAA
Molecule: long non-coding RNA, 234 nt
Organism: Colias croceus (clouded yellow)
Lineage: Eukaryota; Metazoa; Arthropoda; Insecta; Lepidoptera; Pieridae
Exons: 2
Source: RefSeq, a predicted model, not a curated record